This 71-nucleotide transfer RNA is filed under the name Marmota monax (woodchuck). Its description in RNAcentral is "tRNA.Val". It matches the Rfam family "tRNA". Rfam says of the family: Transfer RNA (tRNA) molecules are approximately 80 nucleotides in length. Lineage: Eukaryota; Metazoa; Chordata; Mammalia; Rodentia; Sciuridae. The record is from RNAcentral.
GGGGUUGUGGCUCAAUGGUAGAGUGCUCGCUUCACAUGUGAGAGGCCCUGGGUUCAGUCCUCAGCACCACA